UGAGGAAUAUUGGGCAAUGCCCGCAAGGGUGACCCAGCAACGCCGCGUGGAGGAUGAAUGUCGUAAGAUUGUAAACUCCUGUUAGAGGGGAAGAAUAGUACCGGUUGGACCGGUAUAUGACUGUACCCUCAGAGAAAGCCCCGGCUAACUACGUGCCAGCAGCCGCGGUAAUACGUAGGGGGCAAGCGUUGUCCGGAUUUACUGGGCGUAAAGGGCGCGUAGGCGGCGCGGUAAGUCACUUGUGAAAUCUCUGAGCUUAACUCAGAACGGCCAAGUGAUACUGCUGUGCUAGAGGGCGGAAGAGNCAACCGGAAUUCUUGGUGUAGCGGUGAAAUGCGUAGAUAUCAAGAGGAACACCUGAGGCGAAGGCGGGUUGCUGGGCCGACACUGACGCUGAUGCGCGAAAGCCAGGGGAGCAAACG
RNAcentral lists this ribosomal RNA (422 nucleotides) under uncultured bacterium. RNAcentral's name for it is "bacterial SSU rRNA". It matches the Rfam family "Bacterial small subunit ribosomal RNA", at positions 355 to 774 of the family's 1533-position model. The record is from RNAcentral.